CGUACGAGCUGCCGAGAAACCCCGGAGGGGCUGCGAGACCCCCGCGGGAGAAAUAAAUGACACAUUACAGAUGCCUGUGUUGUGCCAGCAGCAGCAUGAAUGUGUGUAAGAGGUAUAAAGAAGAUGUGUUGCAUUGUUUGCCCAGGGACAGCAUUCUUGGAUUCUCAAAACAAGCUGUCAACACUCUCAUUGGCCAGCUAGUGGGAUGUUCUGGCAAGGCUCACACUCGCAGAUCUGGGCCUGAAUCACUGCUGUCCUGCAUGCAACCUUGAUGAAAAAGGAAUUCUGAGGAACACAAAUGGAACUUAAAAGUCUAGUCACUGGAGGAAAAAAAACAAUGUUAACCUUUGCUUAGAUACAUAGCCCUGAGAGUUACCAGUGUUCAAGGGGCUGAAACUUUUGGUGUGGCACUAGCAGUGAGGGUCAGAAACGGUCAGUCCUGCAAAAAUCACCUAUAUGAAUGUAUCCUUUGAAACUUCUGCUGGAUUCUUAAAAGCACAUCUCUGCAGAAUUGCAUAAACUGCGGAGUAUGCUGGGAGCUGCUUAUGCAGGGCCUGCUUUUUAAGUCUACCAGCUGUCUUCCUGGACCUUACGGGCUGUGCAAAGGCAUCGGCUGAACACCCAAGCGCAAGGGUGAGCGGGUCUGACUCCUGCAACACUGCCAGACGUGGUGUUGGGGAAAUGCAUAAGCAGGUCACCCGCAAGGCUAAACAGCUAUAGAAGCCAAAGUGACUGUUGCCAGCCAUUCGGGCACUGGAAUUGCAAUUUUUAAUUUUUUUUUUUUUUUUCCCCUAGAAUGUCAAAUACUGCCCUUAAAACCAGUCUGUUUGGGGAGUGGUGGUGGUGUAAUUUUUGCUUUUGUGAGACUUAUACCUGGCCUACAAUUAUCCUGCGCGUGGGGAGUUUUUCUAGACGUCUGGCUGCGUCCUAAGCAGGGUAGCAUACACACACUGCUAACCGCAGUAACUUCACUGAUUAACUCAAUAGAUCACUCUCGCUGUGCUGGAAUCAAUGACAGUGGUUAAAGGUCUGUCCAAUUGCUGUUUUUCCAGUAAUGAGUUUAUAACAAAGCUGCCACCAAAUAGUUUAGUGUCAUGUGUUUUCUUCUUUAUUGAUUUCAAUAAAAAGGCUAAUUUGGA
Long non-coding RNA from Harpia harpyja (harpy eagle), 1139 nucleotides. RefSeq lists it as uncharacterized. The transcript is spliced from 4 exons. NCBI's taxonomy places the organism in Eukaryota, Metazoa, Chordata, Aves, Accipitriformes, Accipitridae. The record is from RefSeq and is a predicted model, not a curated record.